GGAAGCUCUUUUCGGCCGGUGCCGGGCCCGGUCUUCAAAACCGGCGGAUGGCCCAAUACGCCAUCGGUGGGUUCGACCCCCACGAGCUUCCGCCA
RNAcentral lists this transfer RNA (95 nucleotides) under Bryobacteraceae bacterium. Its description in RNAcentral is "tRNA-Sec". It matches the Rfam family "Selenocysteine transfer RNA". Lineage: Bacteria; Pseudomonadati; Acidobacteriota; Terriglobia; Bryobacterales; Bryobacteraceae. The record is from RNAcentral.